GGGUCGAUGGUGAGACCUCAUAUUAUCUUGAAGAGAGAUGAUGACUUAAAAAUCAUGCUCUAUAGGAUUAUGCUGAGGCCC
Lepus europaeus (European hare) is the source of this 81-nucleotide small nucleolar RNA. RefSeq annotates it as small nucleolar RNA SNORD115. The record is from RefSeq and is a predicted model, not a curated record. The transcript has a single exon. NCBI's taxonomy places the organism in Eukaryota, Metazoa, Chordata, Mammalia, Lagomorpha, Leporidae.